This 18-nucleotide small nuclear RNA is filed under the name Arabidopsis thaliana (thale cress). Its description in RNAcentral is "snRNA_17535". Lineage: Eukaryota; Viridiplantae; Streptophyta; Magnoliopsida; Brassicales; Brassicaceae. The record is from RNAcentral.
ACUCCGUGAAUCGGAGGC